UUGUACCAUCUUGUUCUCGAUCUCACUUUCUCUCUAUAUAUAUGUUUUUUAUUUUUUUUAUUUUUAAAGCCAUGCCUCGUUUUCCGAUCACCGCUACCCCUUUUCCGAUUAAUUUGAGUCCUAUAACGCAUGUCAGGGCUCUGCCCGACUAAGUUCGUUAGGAUUCUGUCUCGGGACAUCGGGACAAGGUUGAUUUAGGGGUACUAUACUUACCAUGAGUGCAUUAUAUAUUUUUAAAAUAGCUCAGAAGUUAUACCCAAAAUUCUACCAGUAAGUUUUCUAGUUGAACCCUAAAGUUACACAGUGGGUCCAUUCCUUUUUCUCACCAUUUUAUUCUCUUUUUGUGAGUUACCUAAAACUAUUAUUUAUUAUUUAUUAUUUCUAUUUUGUAAACAAACUUUCAUCAAAAGUCAUGCCUAUUAUUUUAUUUACCCAAUAGGGAACCAUAGUUGAGACACCCAAGUAAUCCCGCACAACUCCUAAAAUUUUCAUAGCAAUUAGAAUCAGGAUCAGGGCCCCUAAAACUCAAAGGGGGCAAUUCCCAUUCGAUAUUAUCUUCAAAAAUCUGUUGUCAAAAUUGAAUUUAGUCGUACAGUCGACUCAGCAAGCCUACCCCUAAACGUGUCCACCCUAGGCUAGAAAAUAGACCCGUCGCGCCACGCGAUGGGUGCACAUGUUCUUGUCGCGACACGCGAGAGGGACGAUUUUCCAGCUAUAAAUAGAGGGCAGUGGGACUUGCAAUUGUGCGUUGGUUCGACAAUCAAAUUCAAAUUAUACUCCGAGUUAUAAUAGAAACAAUCUCCAAAUCACUAAUCAGUAUAGCGGGGUACUGCUACGAUGCCGGGUAAUUACUCGAUCACUAUUACGAUUCAGUUUCCGGGAUCAAUAUAUCCAAAGAAUGUCUAAGUGCCGCCCACAUUGGGUUAUACUUUGUCGUUUGUCGAUAAUUCGAUAAAUGAGUUGAAGUAUUAUACUUUGUCGUUUGUCGUUAAUUCGAUAAAUGAGUUGAAGUAUCGCACUUUGUCAUUCGUUGUGAGAAUUUGAUCUCGUGAGUUAUCGUAAAAGCUGUAUUGAUCAUUAACCCGGUUUUGUGUGCAUCAUUUCCUAAAUUAGGAUUAUUAGUCUUAAUACACUUACAAUCAAAGUAGAUGCUAAUUCUCAGAAGAAUCUGAACCAUGAAGCUUGUUAAUUCAAAUACUGCAUGCUGAUUUUGUCAAGGUUUGUGAAGUUGGGAACUGCUAACUUGAUUGAAGAUUUAAGGCUUUUUGGAGCCCAUGUUGUGUUUUUGAUUCUUUGAAGUUGAACAUUGAGGUUUGAGGUUUUGUUUUUGUUUUUGUUUUGGUAGUUGUAAAUAUGGCUUGUAUAAAGUUGGGAUUGAAAGAUGAUGCAUUUCAGAAACAAAACCAAGCUUGCUAUGUUCUUUAAUCAUUGAAAUUCUAUCAAUAUUUUU
This 1450-nucleotide long non-coding RNA is filed under the name Helianthus annuus (common sunflower). Its description in RNAcentral is "hypothetical non coding rna". The record is from RNAcentral. Lineage: Eukaryota; Viridiplantae; Streptophyta; Magnoliopsida; Asterales; Asteraceae.